UAGUCCAUGCCGUAAACGAUGAGUACUAGCCGUUAUUUCUGGUGUAAAAGAAAUAGUGGCGAAGCUAACGCGUUAAGUACUCCGCCUGGGGAUUACGACCGCAAGGUUAAAACUCAAAGGAAUUGACGGGGACCCGCACAAGCGGUGGAGCAUGUGGUUUAAUUCGAUGCAACACGAAAAACCUUGCCUGCCCUUGACAUACUAAGAAAGUUUAAGAGAUUAAACUGUGCCUUUUGGAACUUAGAUACAGGUGCUGCAUGGCUGUCGUCAGCUCGUGUUGUGAAAUGUUGGGUUAAGUCCCGCAACGAGCGCAACCCUUAUUUUAGUUGCCAUCAUUAAGUUGGGCACUUUAAAAGACUGCCGUUUGACAAAACGGNGGAAGGCGAGGAUGACGUCAAGUCAUUAUGGCCCUUAUGGGCAGGGCUACACACGUGCUACAAUGGACGUUACAGAGGGAUGCGAAAGAGCAAGUCUGGAGCGAAAACCCACAAAGACGUUCGUAGUCCGGAUUGUACUCUGCAACUCGAGUACA
This 532-nucleotide ribosomal RNA is filed under the name uncultured bacterium. RNAcentral describes it as "bacterial SSU rRNA". It matches the Rfam family "Bacterial small subunit ribosomal RNA", at positions 791 to 1320 of the family's 1533-position model. The record is from RNAcentral.